Molecule: ribosomal RNA, 253 nt
Filed under: uncultured bacterium
Lineage: Bacteria
Description: partial 16S ribosomal RNA
Rfam family: Bacterial small subunit ribosomal RNA
Source: RNAcentral
UACAGAGGGUGCGAGCGUUAAUCGGAAUUACUGGGCGUAAAGCGUGCGUAGACGGUUAUUUAAGUCGGGUGUGAAAGCCCCGGGCUCAACCUGGGAAUUGCAUUCGAGACUGAAUAGCUAGGGUACGGUAGAGGGAAGCGGAAUUUCCGGUGUAGCGGUGAAAUGCGUAGAUAUUGGGAGGAACACCGGUGGCGAAGGCGGCCCCCUGGACCGGUACUGACGCUGAGGCGCGAAAGCGUGGGUAGCAAACGGG